GAAAAGGGAGUGGAUUAUUCCUCCUGUAAAUAUACCAGAGAAUGAGGACUACACACAUAAGGACUAUAUUGCCAGAAUUCGAACUGACGCUGUGCCUCUUUCUGGAAAAGUCCUAUACUCGAUACAUGGGAAUGGUGUUGAUCAAGACCCUUUGAAUGUCUUUAUCGUUAAUCCAUACACCGGAUUUAUUAAAGUAACGGACACCCUGGACAGGGAGAAAAUCGCAAUGUACAAUCUUACAGGGAUUGCAAAAGACACAAACGGGGAAAUCCUGGAGAAGGAGAUUAAACUUCGUAUUGCAGUUAUAGACAAAAAU
This is a non-coding RNA of Lepisosteus oculatus (spotted gar), 316 nucleotides long. Lineage: Eukaryota; Metazoa; Chordata; Actinopteri; Semionotiformes; Lepisosteidae. The record is from RefSeq and is a predicted model, not a curated record.